RNAcentral lists this ribosomal RNA (253 nucleotides) under uncultured bacterium. RNAcentral's name for it is "partial 16S ribosomal RNA". It matches the Rfam family "Bacterial small subunit ribosomal RNA", at positions 524 to 776 of the family's 1533-position model. The record is from RNAcentral.
UACGUAGGGCGCAAGCGUUGUCCGGAAUUAUUGGGCGUAAAGGGCUCGUAGGCGGUUUGUCGCGUCGGGAGUGAAAACCUUGGGCUUAACUCAGGGCUUGCUUUCGAUACGGGCAGACUAGAGGUAUGCAGGGGAGAACGGAAUUCCUGGUGUAGCGGUGAAAUGCGCAGAUAUCAGGAGGAACACCGGUGGCGAAGGCGGUUCUCUGGGCAUGAUCUGACGCUGAGGAGCGAAAGUGUGGGGAGCGAACAGG